Molecule: non-coding RNA, 1355 nt
Organism: Podarcis muralis (Common wall lizard)
Lineage: Eukaryota; Metazoa; Chordata; Lepidosauria; Squamata; Lacertidae
Source: RefSeq, a predicted model, not a curated record
AAAGGACGAGGACUUCCUGACCAGAGAGUCAAAACUUACUAUAGGUGUCCCAUUGAGCUUGUUUACAUGUGCGAUUAGCAUUUGCACCCAACAUAUCCGUAUUGUCCUCGUGCUUUGUCUCAUUUCUAGUUAAAGGCAGAGUUGUCUACUCACCUGACUGGCGGUGGCACUCCAGAAAAGGUUUUUCGCUACUCGUUCUGACUGAACUUUUUAAACAAAUGGAAUCACCAGGGUUUGAUUCUACUUUAUACUACCGUUGAGCUAUGCUAAUGUUGUUGUAAGACAUCAGUUGAAUGAUAAACGGAUUGAUACAUAACCAACAGUCCCUAUCUAAUAGGGUACCAAGAAUUAUUGGCAUGUUCAUUUGCAUGUUUGGGGCUGCAAGCCUAUAUUUACACACCCUUACUCAGGUGAGGUAAUUUCCACUGAGUUCAUCAAGAAGAAAACUUAGGAUGGCAGACCAAAUAAUCUCCAUGUUACAAGCACACCAUCACACCUUACAGACUGACAAGGAAAUACCUUUGAGACUCAUACCAAAUUCAAGACGAUCAGGACACCAAGACAGCUAAAGAUCAGCAUGAAGGACUGAUUUGAUUUUAGCCACUUGAACAGCCAAAGGCUUAGUCACUGGAAGCAGCCUGGAUGCUUUAAGAAUACAGAAAGUCUCCCUCUUCGUGCAAUGCAAAGUCUGGGUGCAAUGCAAGAUUUUUUCCACCUCCCUGAAGAAACUGGUUUCAGUUCAGAGACAAACCAGAGAACACUGCAAUCUGCAAUCACUGCCAGCAUUAAUAAUUUCCCACGUCACAACUGGAAUUAGUAAGAUGGAGCUAAAAUAGGAAGAAUGCAGAGACCACUUUCAGAAGGCAACUGGGGAUACUUCUAAAAGAUUGUUGUGUGUGUCAGUUAAAACCACCCACGUUGCAAAUUAUAUAUACUUAUUCCUGUAAGCUCAACUCAGAAAUGUGUUCUGCUGUAUUCAACUUCAUCAGCAGAAGUUGCAUUGAACCUUACAGUAAAGUAAGAUUAUGAUAAUUUUGCAAAACAGAUAUAUUCUUUUUUCUGCUUUCCCCUGCUCAUUCAAGUUUACAGCCUUUUCAUGCAGAGACUGAAUUAUGGUGUGUUUGAUGCUUUGCACCGCUAACAUUAUGAUCUUGGGAAUCAUUUUAUCAAUGGGAAACUAGCAAAACAAGUACUGAAAUUGUACUCUGAGGAAUCUGAUUUCUAUGUAGCAUAACACUGCAUGAGUAUAGCAUCUUAUCAGUAAAUACUAGUAAAAAUAAGAAGCCCACGAUAUGUGAAAAAUGGAAUAUGAACAGGAAACAUUGUGUCUCAAGCUACAGUAAACUCAUCAGAGA